RNAcentral lists this ribosomal RNA (466 nucleotides) under uncultured bacterium. Its description in RNAcentral is "partial 16S ribosomal RNA". It matches the Rfam family "Bacterial small subunit ribosomal RNA", at positions 28 to 507 of the family's 1533-position model. The record is from RNAcentral.
GAUGAACGCUGGCGGCGUGCUUAACACAUGCAAGUCGAACGAUGAAGCCCAGCUUGCUGGGUGGAUUAGUGGCGAACGGGUGAGUAACACGUGAGUAACCUGCCCUUGACUCUGGGAUAAGCGCUGGAAACGGCGUCUAAUACCGGAUACGAGCUUCCACCGCAUGGUGAGUUGCUGGUAAGAAUUUCGGUCAAGGAUGGACUCGCGGCCUAUCAGGUAGUUGGUGAGGUAACGGCUCACCAAGCCGACGACGGGUAGCCGGCCUGAGAGGGUGACCGGCCACACUGGGACUGAGACACGGCCCAGACUCCUACGGGAGGCAGCAGUGGGGAAUAUUGCACAAUGGGCGCAAGCCUGAUGCAGCAACGCCGCGUGAGGGACGAAGGCCUUCGGGUCGUAAACCUCUUUUAGCAGGGAAGAAGCGAAAGUGACGGUACCUGCAGAAAAAGCACCGGCUAACUACGUG